RNAcentral lists this ribosomal RNA (271 nucleotides) under uncultured archaeon. RNAcentral's name for it is "partial 16S ribosomal RNA". It matches the Rfam family "Bacterial small subunit ribosomal RNA", at positions 524 to 794 of the family's 1533-position model. The record is from RNAcentral.
UACGAAGGUGGCUAGCGUUGUUCGGAUUUAUUGGGCGUAAAGGGUCCGCAGGCGGUUUGAUAAGUCAGGUGUGAAAUCCAACAGCUUAACUGUUGACACGCAUUUGAUACUGUCAGACUAGAGUAUGAGAGGGGUGAGAGGAAUUUCCAGUGUAGGGGUGAAAUCCGUAGAUAUUGGAAAGAACACCGGCCGCGAAGGCGUUUCACUGGCUCAUUACUGACGCUCAGGGACGAAAGCUAGGGGAGCAAACGGGAUUAGAAACCCUGGUAGU